AAGAGGCUGGUCCUCACCUGGCUACAACCUCCUUUCAGUGCUAUGUAGCUUUGGAGUAAGUCUGUGAAGGCUCCCAGCUGUGGAGGAACCGAUGUAUCAGCUGUAUUGAAUAAUAAAUUACCAAGGAAAGACUGAGAACCAAUCUUGUCAUGGUCUGCAAACUUCCUGAGGAGGAACAGGCUCUCAAAAGUCAAAGAUCAAAGCUGAUAGCUGAGUUUUAGAAACCAGAGGGACAGAAUCAUAAUUCAGCUCUUUGCAUAUUUGAGGUUAUCUCCACUGGAUACUUCUGUCAAGGCUGAGUAUGAUAUGAGAGAGUAAGCAUUACAAACAAAUUCACCAGAGAAGAGAGAGAGAAAAAUACUCCUGUCUUUUUCUGUCCAGCAACCAGAAGAUGAUUGGAUAAAUGAUCUUGUCAGGCUUUUAUAAACCUCAGUUUAUACUGUUCUUCAGAAUCAGGGAAGAUAACAGUGUGUGCUGUGGGAUCCUGUUGAACAUAAUGUUGCCUAGCUGUUAUAUUAGCUUUAAACCUGCGGACCACAUUUGCAUGAGGUGGGCAAUAUGCAGCACAUCCCUUUUUUGUUUUGUUUUGUCUGGGUUUUUUAAAGCUAAUCUUAGUUAUUGUAAUAUGUAAGAAAAUUUUGGUUCAUGUGUUUUUCACAAACUGUUAUUAUUUGUCUGUUAUCAGCCAAACUUAAAAUCACUUUGUGGUGAACCUUGGUAAAAAAAGAUGUUAUCCACAGCUUGGGAUAAUUACACACCUCACAUAUUCUACAGUUAAUUAAAGUAUGACCCCCAAAAUUAUAAACCCCCAAACUGUAACAAACCCUCAAGUUUUAUGCCUUUUACUCCCUUUUACCUGCUUAUUGACGGGUUUUUAUUGGUAGGAGCUAAAAUUUAGAACUGAGUGGUAAAAUACAUUUCAGUAGUUUAUUGAAUUUGCAUGAGAUUUAUUUUGAUAGUAAAAAGCAGUUAAUAAAAUAUAGGUGUCAUGACUUGCUCUAAAGGUCUUACUUUUUUGUGUAUUUACAGUAUUCAUAAAGAACUAGGAAAUCUAUAUAAGUCUGCAUAGCUUUCAAAAUAUUGCCUGAAAAAUGGAGUGAACAUUAUGCAUGGUUUAAUAUGAGGUUCUGCAGCUUCAGGAGGUGUUUCAAACAGACUCUGUCAUUUGUCAUGUCUAUAUAUUUUAAUCCCACAUAUUGAUAAAUGAGUGUUCUUAAUGCAGAUUUGUGAGUAAAAAAGGAGGCAGAUAUGUUGCAUUAGAAACUUGUAUUUAUUUUAAUUAGGUUCUGUAGAUAAAUCUGCUUGCAGAAUGGCAACUGAAAUUAUCAAAAGUAGUUUCUGCUUAAAUAGUUGUCGGAAAAUUUUAUUGACUGAACUUUUCCUCCUUUUCUCAGUGCCAAAAAAAUCUUAAAUGUUUGUGUUUUGCUUUUGAUUUCUAGUGCAUAGUUCUUUCCUUUUAUUUUUUUAACUGUCAUCCUAUUGUGUGCUGGAUUCUUACAUUAUCUAAAGAGUAGUUUGAAAGAUGAUGUGAGUGAAACAGAGCUCUGCUAUAGGUAACAGGCUUAGAGACCAGGUUGAUUUGAAUGAGACUUGUUGUUAAUCUGUAAGAUACUGCUUGCUGAUAUCAAACAACUACAAAAAUUGCUGUUGGUGGAGUGUGAGAACCAGAACCCAGAUGUCAUAAACUAGCAUUAUUUUAUCAAUAAAUACACACUCUGCAGCAUAAAUGCUCUAUAGCAAUACUCUUUGGAUGUGCAAAUGGUUUUGCAGCUUGGGCAUAAGAUUACAGGUGCAUAGAUAUCUCAUUUAGAAAGCUGGGUGUUAUUACACUGAUAUACGGCCUCAUGCCUUACGAAUAAUAAAACUGAAAUAUGGCAGAUCCCAUUGGAACCACUCAGCUCUCAAAAAAAAUGGGAUAAAAGAGAGCUUCAGCACUGGUUUGAGAUAUGAGAGCAACACUGAGUACCCUCAGUUUGGUCUUGGAUCUGAAUUUGACCUUUACUGGGCUAGUAUACUUUUCAAAUCCCUAAAUGUUUUAUCACAGAGCUAGAAAAACGGGCAGUAAAAAUGCUGCAGACUGUUAAGAUUUGGUAUAUCGACAUUUAUCUGUAAUCCAACAUCAAACCAAAAAGGGUUUCUGUUAUCCAGCUGGUUAUGCUGGAUAAUUGCA
This is a non-coding RNA of Zonotrichia albicollis (white-throated sparrow), 2170 nucleotides long. The record is from RefSeq and is a predicted model, not a curated record. NCBI's taxonomy places the organism in Eukaryota, Metazoa, Chordata, Aves, Passeriformes, Passerellidae.